RNAcentral lists this transfer RNA (90 nucleotides) under Deltaproteobacteria bacterium CG11_big_fil_rev_8_21_14_0_20_47_16. Its description in RNAcentral is "tRNA-Ser". It matches the Rfam family "tRNA". From Rfam's summary of the family: Transfer RNA (tRNA) molecules are approximately 80 nucleotides in length. Their secondary structure includes four short double-helical elements and three loops (D, anti-codon, and T loops). Lineage: Bacteria; Deltaproteobacteria. The record is from RNAcentral.
GGAAAGGUGGCCGAGCGGUUGAAGGCGCCAGUCUUGAAAACUGGAGUACCUUAACGGGUACCGUGGGUUCGAAUCCCACCCUUUCCGCAA